UUACGGCCAUGUCACGUUGAGACACCGGUUCCCGUAUGAUCACCAAAGUUAAGCAAUGUCUAGUCUUUUCAGUACCUAGAUGAGUGACCGCUUGGGGAUGCCAGGUGCUGUAAG
Non-coding RNA from Acanthosepion pharaonis, 114 nucleotides. Lineage: Eukaryota; Metazoa; Mollusca; Cephalopoda; Sepiida; Sepiidae. The record is from the annotation of a GenBank genome assembly.